RNAcentral lists this long non-coding RNA (225 nucleotides) under Lathyrus oleraceus (garden pea). Its description in RNAcentral is "Pisum sativum (pea) long non-coding RNA (PSAT_LNC019865)". The record is from RNAcentral. Lineage: Eukaryota; Viridiplantae; Streptophyta; Magnoliopsida; Fabales; Fabaceae.
GCGGUGGCAUGGGGUCGAACGUCUGGAAGGGGAGACAUAAUAGACAUAAUAAAAACUUUCUAGAAUGGGCUGUUGUGUCAAGGGCUCAAAUGGUCGGUUAAAGCCAUGGUUCCAAGGUUCGGUCGGCUGUGGGUCAUAAUUUGUUGGGACGAUAUUUGACCUAGUUUGAAAAUCUGAUUUCAUAGGGUUAUGAGGUCUUUUUAAAUGCAAUUCUCUGUCCCUUUU